RNAcentral lists this ribosomal RNA (389 nucleotides) under uncultured bacterium. Its description in RNAcentral is "bacterial SSU rRNA". It matches the Rfam family "Bacterial small subunit ribosomal RNA", at positions 28 to 417 of the family's 1533-position model. The record is from RNAcentral.
GACGAACGCUGGCGGCGUGCUUAACACAUGCAAGUCGAACGGAUCAGGGGAGCUUGCUUCUCUGGUUAGUGGCGAACGGGUGAGUAACACGUGAGUAACCUGCCCUUCACUCUGGGAUAACUCCGGGAAACCGGGGCUAAUACUGGAUACGACCUGAACAGGCAUCUGUAUUGGGUGGAAAGAUUUAUUGGUGGAGGAUGGACUCGCGGCCUAUCAGCUUGUUGGUGAGGUAAUGGCUCACCAGGGCGACGACGGGUAGCCGGCCUGAGAGGGCGAUCGGCCACACUGGGACUGAGACACGGCCCAGACUCCUACGGGAGGCAGCAGUGGGGAAUAUUGCACAAUGGGCGAAAGCCUGAUGCAGCGACGCCGCGUGAGGAUGAAGGCCU